Molecule: long non-coding RNA, 2551 nt
Filed under: Sus scrofa (pig)
Lineage: Eukaryota; Metazoa; Chordata; Mammalia; Artiodactyla; Suidae
Description: lncRNA (ENSSSCG00065061642.1)
Source: RNAcentral
CCACAAGUCUCUUCUCCAAGUCCAUGAUUUUCUUUUCUGAGGAGAUGUUCAUUUGUGCUGGAUAUUAGAUUCCAGUUAUAAGUGAUAUCAUAUGGUAUUUGUCUUUGUCUUUCUGGCUCAUUUCACUCAGUAUGAGAUUCUGUAGUUCCAUCCAUGUUGCUGCAAACGGCAUUAUGUCAUUCUUUUUUAUGGCUGAGUAGUAUUCCAUUGUGUAUAUAUACCACAUCUUCCGAAUCCAAUCAUCUGUUGAUGGACAUUUAGGUUGUUUGGCCUGGCUUUCUAAAGAUACGGGUGCGUAGGCCCUUCAAGGUUAGCCUAUCACCAAGGCAUGCUCUUCACUGCUGCAGGACCCAGAAAGGACCCACAACGGGAGCCCCAGCCCCGCCGCAACUGCCAGCUUGAGAUGGGGCUGCCAGUUUUCCUCUCUUCCUUGCUUCUGACCCGGGUUGGAUUUAACGAAUUUUGAGGGACAGCCAUCCGCCCUUCUUUCAUCGUCCUGCUCCGGCUGCUUCUGCUCCCAGCUGCCCAGUGGAUCUUCCAGCCCUGUUCAAAGUCCUCGAUGACUCCCUGUGACCACAGAGGAAAUAGCAACCUCCUCAGCUUUUAAUGACAUUAGGAAGAAGUGAUGUGACUUACAGGAUGGGCCAUCGAAACCAGUGUCUGCAGGACCUUACGUAUCCAUUCGAAAGAUCCAGAAGACAAACUAAACUUUUCCUUUUCCAUUCAGAUGUUUUCCUGCUGGGUGGCCAAAAAGUCUGAAACAACUGAAUUCCUGGGCGCUCCACAAACCUCUCCCAGUCCCCAACUUUCACAAGUGUUUUAUUCCCAAACUCUGUCCAGAUGAAAGAAAGGCCAGUGCUAACACUGAACACACGAGUCCAGGAACCAGAGGUAUGAGUAGAAACAAAGACUCUGGUUUUGCCAGGUAAAUGUUGUCAAAUAUAUGAACAUACAAAUAUAUUUAUCUCCAGUGGGUUGUAAACAGAGCGUGCAUCUCAUACAAUGUCCAAAUUCACUUGCAAGAAGAUGGUAACUGGUUUUGGAGCAUCCCACGUGUCUGAAGCCAAGGAUCCUCCCUUGCUGCGUGAUUCAGGAGAUUUGGAAAUGUUCUGCAAGCAAUGUGGUUUUAAAAUGAAGCCCAGUACAAGCUUUUGAUCUGUAUGUGAUAGUCCGUGUGCAUGAGCAACUCUACUGUAUCGACAGCCUCAAUUUAAACACUCCUCACGUACAGAAUCUGGAUUUAUUAUUUUGCUUUGGGAAACACACGUCUUUUGACUUUUCUACAUCUAUGAUCCCUGGAGAGGUGAGGUCAGAGUCCUGGGGUCUUUCUAAGGUCAGCACCCAAGUGUAGCCUUGGCAGCUUUAGGGCCAUUGGCACAUGUGCCAUAAACAAUCGCUGUUCCAGGGGGAACCAGUAAAAAUCUUUCCCUGAACGCAUCGUGGGUCACAACAGGAGGAAACACUCCAUCACGGAAAAGUGACACUAAUGUAUUCUAUUAGAUUUGCUUAUCAUGUUAAAGAGCAUAUUAAAAGGAAAUGUUUGGAAAAGAGAUGCCAUAACCGGGUCUGAUGGAUUGAGAAUUCCUAAUUUGGAAAAAAUGUGCUAAGACAACAUGAUUGAUGUGAGUGACCUACUUUAUUUUAUAAGAAAGUAUGAGUUGCCUUGGGCUUAUUGGUACACAUAUUUGGAAAAAGUUGGUUUUUUUCCACAUUAAGUUUUUAUUAACAUUUUCAAAAGCGCAGAAACACCAUAGAAGGCUAUAAGUUGUGACUUGUCAAUGCAGAUGUGUGUGUAGUCACUCGCUGCCUUAGAAAAAUUUAUCCCCUUGCUGGAAGGGUUUCUGAAUGAGGAGUUUCUUGCCAAGCAAAUACCUGUUGGGGGAAAAGAUGAUACCUUUUUGACUGAGAGAAGAUGACAAGAAGGGGGCGUUUUUGUUUAAAACACAAAUGGAUCUUCUCCACCGUGUAGAAAAAAUACACGGCAGAAAACUUAGAAUGAUUUCCAUUUCAUGGUGCCUCCUGGCGACCUUCCCGCUGCACGGAGUGAACAGGAUUGGGCUGAGUUAACCGUUUUAUUUUGACUUUAGAAGCUGGAACCCCCAGGGGAGGCUCCCCAUUGUCAAAUGAAGCUACUUGGUCUGGAAGUUGGGAAUUUGGGGGUUAUCCCAGGAAACAGAAGGAACUGUGAAGGCUCCAAGGAGGGUUGGUGGCUGACAGAAUACUACUAUUAAAAUAAUGUUGCCAGUGAGGUUAAGAACUUAAGAAAUGCCUGUUGUAUAAUGUUCGUUGAGGAAGGGGAGAUGUGAAGCAGAAAUAUGUAUUUAAAAGCAGAGGUGGGAGAAUAAGUUUUCUGAAGGCAACUUGUCAGCUUCGUCGCAAAAGCCUUUUGCAUCCAGAAAGUCCACUUCUAGAAAUUUCUCCUAAAGAAAGAAUCAUAAUAUUCAUAAAUAUUUUGGUAAUGAGGUGUUUACUCUAGAAUCACAAUAUUGCAAAAUGGACUCAACUGUUCAAAGUGAGAGGAUCGCUUAAAUAAAUUCAUACAUUUAAUGCA